CCUACGGGUGGCUGCAGUGGGGAAUAUUGGACAAUGGGGGGAACCCUGAUCCAGCCAUGCCGCGUGUGUGAAGAAGGCCCUCGGGUUGUAAAGCACUUUCAGUGAGGAAGAACGCCUGGUGGUUAAUACCCAUCAGGAAAGACAUCACUCACAGAAGAAGCACCGGCUAACUCCGUGCCAGCAGCCGCGGUAAUACGGAGGGUGCGAGCGUUAAUCGGAAUUACUGGGCGUAAAGCGCGCGUAGGUGGCUUGAUAAGCCGGUUGUGAAAGCCCCGGGCUCAACCUGGGAACGGCAUCCGGAACUGUCAAGCUAGAGUGCAGGAGAGGAAGGUAGAAUUCCCGGUGUAGCGGUGAAAUGCGUAGAGAUCGGGAGGAAUACCAGUGGCGAAGGCGGCCUUCUGGACUGACACUGACACUUAGGUGCGAAAGCGUGGGUAGCAAACAGGAUUAGAUACCCUUGUAGUC
This 465-nucleotide ribosomal RNA is filed under the name Vreelandella stevensii. Its description in RNAcentral is "partial 16S ribosomal RNA". It matches the Rfam family "Bacterial small subunit ribosomal RNA", at positions 338 to 795 of the family's 1533-position model. Lineage: Bacteria; Pseudomonadati; Pseudomonadota; Gammaproteobacteria; Oceanospirillales; Halomonadaceae. The record is from RNAcentral.